CCCUCGCGUUGUCUUUUUUUUCUUCCCGUUCCUUUUCACUCGAGCGAUUGUGGCACCGACUCCUCUCCCCAACGCCCAACAACAGGGAGCCGCCACCGCUGGUGGCACAGGGGGAGCGCGGGGCUGGCCACCACGUGAAGGUGCAGGACUGCGCGAUGGAGGCCAAGCAUUGUGGCCAGCCGAAGCGGCGGCGGCCAGGCGGGUAGCCGACAUGGCAAGCUGUUGUCCGCGAUCGCCCGGUGGCUCGCGGCUCGGCCAGCUUGAUGGCGGCAUGGCCAGCCACAGCGCCCGCCUCACCCUUCUAGAAGAUUUUGAAAGCGAACCCAAGCAGAUCCUAAUUUCUUUCUGUCGAGCAGAUCCGGUGAUGGAUUGUGAGGGGCCAAUGGUGGGUGCUUAUUCGGUUUGUUUAUGUAUGGACAUCUAAUGUGUUGUUUGCACUGCAAUUUAAUGGAAUAUGAGAGAAGGGUCCAAGGUUUCCUGUUCAUGUCAGGUGGGGAUACCCCAUUGUGAGAUUUGUGUAUUGUUCCUACUUUUAACUUUUUUUCUUUAUGGUGUUGCCUUAGAUUAAAAAUAUGAAUGCUUAGAAAUACAUUUAGAGUCUGAUUUCAUAAUAUGAUGCUCGGUAUGGAAUCCAGUUGUUCGAUUGAUACUCUCUAGGUCUGGGAUUGCUGGAAACAAGCUUCCUACUGUCUCGGCUAGGCAAUAAAUCUGUGUAACUUGGUAUACUCCUGACUGAGAACUCAAGUUACUUUGGUGCUUGUCUGGUAAUAAAUCUGCACCCUAAUCAUUGCAAGGUUUUCUAUAUUAGCCAAUUUAUUUCUACUGAAAAAGGAAACUGUGAUAUUGCAACCUGCUCAAGAGCUUCUAUUCUUUGGCGGAAUACAAUUUUACACACAAGAUCUGUUUUCCUGAACUACAAAACCUGCUAUAGAAUCAAAGUGGUGAAUAAGGACAUUGGUGAAUAGUGAUAAGUGUAUAUGACUGAGGUGACAUUUGGUACAUUGACAGGAUCAAAGUGGUGAAUAAGGACAUGUUUUCUGCAAAUUUGAACCACGUUGGGAUGCUGUCACGCUUGUCAUCGACGAUCCAGGUUGCGUGCAGAGGCAAAUUAUUUGAAGGAGCAAUGACAUUCAUGUGGUCAUGUUUCUAAAAUUCAAGUCUGCGCUCGAUGGGACAUUCAUUUGAAGAAAGCGUAAAUAUACUUUUAUAGCUUUUAUCACUAAAUCAAUUGUAAAUUUACUUCUAUAGCUUUUAUCACUAAAUCAAUUGUAAGCUCAUGUCAAGUAGUUUUGUUUUGUAAUAAAUCUAGAUAUAAAACCAGGAAAAGCUAUCAUACAUCCUGUCAUCCAGCUGCCCUACUCCAAGUACAGAUACUUAGAAAGUACUAUGGUAGUGUUGAUCAAGUUACAUGUGAAGGAAGGCUAGGGCUUCAAAACUUAAAUUGGUGCAACAACGUUCUAUAUCAUCAUGGCGUUCCAGAGGAUGUAAAGUGAAAAGAUGUGAGAUCCAUGUUAGAUUGAACGCA
This is a long non-coding RNA of Sorghum bicolor (sorghum), 1525 nucleotides long. RefSeq lists it as uncharacterized. The record is from RefSeq and is a predicted model, not a curated record. The transcript has 6 exons. NCBI's taxonomy places the organism in Eukaryota, Viridiplantae, Streptophyta, Magnoliopsida, Poales, Poaceae.